AACCAUGAUGUGGACAAAAAUUUAUGAGAUCUUUGAACCUUUCCCAGCAUUAGAAGAAGGUCUCUUCCUCUUUCUGUGCAAAUUCAUGAUUGCUUUCCUUAGAGU
Magnolia sinica is the source of this 105-nucleotide small nucleolar RNA. The record is from RefSeq and is a predicted model, not a curated record. Lineage: Eukaryota; Viridiplantae; Streptophyta; Magnoliopsida; Magnoliales; Magnoliaceae.